GAACGCUGGCGGCGUGCCUAACACAUGCAAGUCGAGCGAGAAACUCAUAAACGAGCCUCGGGCAAGUGAGUGAGCGGAAAGCGGCGGACGGGUGAGUAACGCGUGAGUAAUCUGCCUUAAGAGGGGGAUAACGCAGAGAAAUCUGCGCUAAUACCGCAUAACACAUAACUAUCGCAUGAUAGAGAUGUCAAAAUUCCGGUGCCUUAAGAUGAGCUCGCGUCCGAUUAGCUUGUUGCGGGUAACGGCCCACCAAGGCGACGAUCGGUAGCCGGACUGAGAGGUUGAACGGCCACAUUGGGACUGAGACACGGCCCAGACUCCUACGGGAGGCAGCAGUGGGGGAUAUUGCGCAAAUGGGGGAAACCCUGACGCAGCAACGCCGCGUGAAGGAAGAAGGUCUUCGGAUUGUAAACUUUUGUCUUUUGGGACGAAGAAGUGACGGUACCAAAGGAGGAAGCCACGGCUAACUACGUGCCAGCCGCGGC
RNAcentral lists this ribosomal RNA (485 nucleotides) under uncultured bacterium. Its description in RNAcentral is "bacterial SSU rRNA". It matches the Rfam family "Bacterial small subunit ribosomal RNA", at positions 31 to 518 of the family's 1533-position model. The record is from RNAcentral.